RNAcentral lists this ribosomal RNA (164 nucleotides) under Cypripedium californicum. RNAcentral's name for it is "5.8S ribosomal RNA". It matches the Rfam family "5.8S ribosomal RNA". From Rfam's summary of the family: 5.8S ribosomal RNA (5.8S rRNA) is a component of the large subunit of the eukaryotic ribosome. It is transcribed by RNA polymerase I as part of the 45S precursor that also contains 18S and 28S rRNA. The record is from RNAcentral. Lineage: Eukaryota; Viridiplantae; Streptophyta; Magnoliopsida; Asparagales; Orchidaceae.
UUUAUGACUCUCGGCAACGGAUAUCUUGGCUCUUGCAUCGAUGAAGAACGCAGCGAAAUGCGAUAAGUGGUGUGAAUUGCAGAAUCCCGUGAACCAUCGAGUCUUUGAACGCAAGUUGCGCUCGAGGCCAUCAGGCUAAGGGCACGCCUGCCUGGGCGUCGUGU